AUGAACGCUGGCGGCGUGCCUAAUACAUGCAAGUCGAGCGAACGGACGGGAAGCUUGCUUCUCUGAUGUUAGCGGCGGACGGGUGAGUAACACGUGGAUAACCUACCUAUAAGACUGGGAUAACUUCGGGAAACCGGAGCUAAUACCGGAUAAUAUUUUGAACCGCAUGGUUCAAAAGUGAAAGACGGUCUUGCUGUCACUUAUAGAUGGAUCCGCGCUGCAUUAGCUAGUUGGUAAGGUAACGGCUUACCAAGGCAACGAUGCAUAGCCGACCUGAGAGGGUGAUCGGCCACACUGGAACUGAGACACGGUCCAGACUCCUACGGGAGGCAGCAGUAGGGAAUCUUCCGCAAUGGGCGAAAGCCUGACGGAGCAACGCCGCGUGAGUGAUGAAGGUCUUCGGAUCGUAAAACUCUGUUAUUAGGGAAGAACAUAUGUGUAAGUAACUGUGCACAUCUUGACGGUACCUAAUCAGAAAGCCACGGCUAACUACGUG
This 496-nucleotide ribosomal RNA is filed under the name uncultured bacterium. Its description in RNAcentral is "partial 16S ribosomal RNA". It matches the Rfam family "Bacterial small subunit ribosomal RNA", at positions 29 to 507 of the family's 1533-position model. The record is from RNAcentral.